RNAcentral lists this ribosomal RNA (264 nucleotides) under uncultured archaeon. Its description in RNAcentral is "partial 16S ribosomal RNA". It matches the Rfam family "Archaeal small subunit ribosomal RNA", at positions 718 to 982 of the family's 1478-position model. The record is from RNAcentral.
AGUCACUGACAUUAGAUACCCCGGUAGUCCAGGGUGUAAACGCUGCAGACUUGGUGUUGGGGACCCUACGGGGGUGUUCAGUGCCGGAGAGAAGUUGUUAAGUCUGCUACUUGGGAGUACGUCCGCAAGGAUGAAACCUAAAGGAAUUGGCGGGGGAGCACCGCAACGGGAGGAGCGUGCGGUUUAAUUGGAUUCAACACCGUAAAACUCACCAGGGAAGACUGUUACAUGAAGGCCGAGAUGAAGACUCUGCUAGAUUUUCAG